Molecule: non-coding RNA, 89 nt
Filed under: bovine gut metagenome
Description: Glycine riboswitch
Rfam family: Glycine riboswitch aptamer
About the family: This family represents the bacterial glycine riboswitch. Glycine riboswitches usually consist of two metabolite-binding aptamers domains with similar structures in tandem.
Source: RNAcentral
AGUAACUCUGGAGAAGCUCGUAAGAGGGCCGAAGGUGCAACGCAUUAUUUAAGAUUAUGCGGAAUCUCUCAGGCAAAAGGACAGAGGAU